AUUGAACGCUGGCGGCAGGCCUAACACAUGCAAGUCGAGCGAGCGGCGGACGGGUGAGUAAUGUAUGGGGACUGCCCGAUAGAGGGGGAUAAAUACUGGAAACGGUGGCUAAUACCGCAUACUAUCGGAUAACCCAUAUGGGAGUAGCUAGUAGGUGGGGUAAAGGCUAACCUAGGCGACGAUCUCUAGCGGGUCUGAGAGGAUGAUCAGCCAAAUGGGGACUGAGACACGGCCCAGAUUCCUACGGAGGCAGCAUUGGGGAAUAUUGCACAAUGGGCGCAAGCCUGAUGCAGCCAUGCCGCGUGUAUGAAGAAGGCCUUAGGUUUGUAAAGUACUUUCAGCGGGGAGGCGUUACCCGCAGAAGAAGCACCGGCUAACUCCGUGCCAGCAGCCGCGGUAAUAC
Molecule: ribosomal RNA, 403 nt
Filed under: uncultured bacterium
Lineage: Bacteria
Description: partial 16S ribosomal RNA
Rfam family: Bacterial small subunit ribosomal RNA
Source: RNAcentral